UUCUCGAUCUUCAGUUCACUACUUCACCACCCUCUUAUUUAUUCCUUCUCUUGCGGCGGUGGUGUGGGGUGGUGGUGGUGGUGGUGGUUGUUGAAGGAAUCAAAUGGUGUGUUGUCUGCCAUUUGUUAUAUUUCAUCGAUCCAUUUCAUUACGUUCACCCCCCUCUGUUUCCAUCGCAUUAAGAACCACUCAAUGAAGAUCAGCGCUCACAAUUGGGUCUGCAUAGGCAGGGGACUGCACCUGGUCUGGUUCCUUAAAUAAACUGCUGAUUUACCCCCAGAUUUUGAAGGAAACAAUGAGCGGAUUGGAUUGGGUGGUUUGCAAAGAUGGGGCCGCAAAAGAGUUGACUGAACAGCACGUGUUUUUGAUAUAUUAUGAACUAGAGAUUUGCCUUGAGAGUGGUUUGUACAUAUUAACUUGAUACAAGUUUUUUUUUAUCAAUAAACUUUGUUUUGUGUAAUUUUGACCACGGGUGUGAACCAUGUUGGGUCGGCGGAUCGAGUUGUUCAACCUGAACACGACCCUUAUAUUUAUUCGUGUGAAAAACAUUAACCUUGUCUUGGUCACACUUUAAAAACAUUAACAAUUUAUUCGUAUGAAAAACAUUAACCACGGGUGUAACCUGAACGACCUGGUUUGUCUAUAUGUGUCAAAUAGGUUGGAAGGUAGUUAUAAACUUUGUGGGUUUAAAAAUAGGGUUAAAUGGGUUGGUGGCUUUACAUGUAUAACUAAACGGCUUAAAAAGGUCAACUCGAACACAACCUGUUUGAUUAAACAGGCCAACCCAAGCAUGAAUCGUUUAGUAAAUGGGCUAGAUAUUCAUGUCGAGUUUCGGUUAAGUUCUAACUGUCGUCACCCCCAAUUUUGACAUUUUGGCUUUGAAUGGUAUCAACUCCGCUUUUCAAAUUUGCUUUAAUCAUCAGUUUACAUUAUCAACGAUUUGAGUUUCAUAUACUGUAUACUUUCUGAAUGGUUUAUGGUAGUGACAUAUGUACUAUUCUAUGUAUUUAAUAAAGUUGGUGAAUUUAUGUGAAAUUUCACUUUCAUCGGUAUGGUUAGAGUUUGUGGGUAUGGCAUUUGUUUUACUUAGUUUUCAGUAUAUGCGCUCUGAGGCAAAUGGCUCGGUCACAUAACGGGUCAAAAUACAAGUUUAUAUACGGGUAUUAAUUGUUGCUGAGUUGAAUGGGUUGAACAUGUAAUGCAUUUAACGCACUCAGCCACAACGCAUGGGUAAUCAUACUAGAGUUGCCAAUUCUGAUUCGUUUACUUAUAAUGUGAGGUUUGGGUGUAUCAGUAGGUGGGUGGCCAACAUUUUACCAGUGAUGGACUUUGUAUACUUAUGAAUGGUUAAUUGUCAGGUGGCUUAAGCCGUAGCUCUUGUGAACCAAAAUAUGAUAUGGAGUUCCACACAGAAGAUUCACCAUUUCUUCCUGUAAUUCGAUGACUGAUGAAGGUUACUUAAAAGGUGACAAAACGUGUGGGUUAGUCGGGUUUGGUAAGUAGUGACAGGUUAAAUGGGGGCAAAACAUGUCAUUUAUUGUGUACAGAUCAAUACUGGUCGCAAUGGUCUAAAAAGAUAUUUUUCCUUCUAACCUUUUUAAUACCCGAUGUAUUAAUUUUGAAUACAAGAACGGAAGUUUGACUUUGUAUGGAUUACUUGAUAUAAAAAGGCGCCCAAAUUGUCCCAUUCAGUUUCUUGAUAGGCCGAUAGUUGUUUGGAUAAUUGGUCAAAAUGGUUUGUACUCAAAAUCUUUUUUUUUAUUUGCAUAGUGUUAUGUUGUUUAUUUAUAUUUUAAGGUGAUUGCAAUAUUGGUUCAGUAAGAUAAUUAUUGAUGAUUGUACACAUUUAUCACUAUUGAUAGCUAGUUUUAUGUAAUAUUAUACAAGAAAUCUACAGUUUAACUUUAGAUUUUUUUAUGGGAAAAUUAAUGAAUGACAUAGGUCACUUAAGAUGGGAAGCAAAGCACUACCUGGUUGUCACUUGUCAGUGGGCAAAUUCUGUGUGAAAUGGAACUUCCACCAGGUGAAGGACGGGUCUCAUGAAGGCUACAUAAAUUAAGUGGGACUAGAGCUGCUACCGCUAUACCUAAAGACGACUCGAUUGUUGAUAGUCGUUUCAUGCACGAGAAAUUUGCAGUUAGUGAUCCAUCGGAAGCUCCUUUGAAUGUUGCCACUCCACUCCACUCCACUCCACUGAAAGUCAGCUCUUUUAGUAUAUCGAGUAGCACGCUUUCUUAUGCUUAGUCAGUGGUUUUUGUUUAUUUCUUAAUCUUCUUAGUAGUUAAUUCUUUUAAACGAUAUCAUCGAAAAGUUGACUGUACUUAACUUGUUAGAAACAAGAUAUUCGAAACAACGGAAAACAAGCACAGUGUUGUAAACUAGCGUUUGAUAUGUAUUUACUUAUGCAUACAUUCUUUUAUAUACUUCACUAUUU
Molecule: long non-coding RNA, 2434 nt
Filed under: Helianthus annuus (common sunflower)
Lineage: Eukaryota; Viridiplantae; Streptophyta; Magnoliopsida; Asterales; Asteraceae
Description: hypothetical non coding rna
Source: RNAcentral